GACGAACGCUGGCGGCGUGCCUAAUACAUGCAAGUAGAACGCUGAAGAGAGGAGCUUGCUCUUCUUGGAUGAGUUGCGAACGGGUGAGUAACGCGUAGGUAACCUGCCUUGUAGCGGGGGAUAACUAUUGGAAACGAUAGCUAAUACCGCAUAACAAUGGAUGACACAUGUCAUUUAUUUGAAAGGGGCAAUUGCUCCACUACAAGAUGGACCUGCGUUGUAUUAGCUAGUAGGUGAGGUAACGGCUCACCUAGGCGACGAUACAUAGCCGACCUGAGAGGGUGAUCGGCCACACUGGGACUGAGACACGGCCCAGACUCCUACGGGAGGCAGCAGUAGGGAAUCUUCGGCAAUGGGGGCAACCCUGACCGAGCAACGCCGCGUGAGUGAAGAAGGUUUUCGGAUCGUAAAGCUCUGCUGUAAGUCAAGAACGAGUGUGAGAGUGGAAAGUUCACACUGUGACGGUAGCUUACCAGAAAGGGACGGCUAACUACGUG
This 497-nucleotide ribosomal RNA is filed under the name uncultured bacterium. RNAcentral's name for it is "partial 16S ribosomal RNA". It matches the Rfam family "Bacterial small subunit ribosomal RNA", at positions 28 to 507 of the family's 1533-position model. The record is from RNAcentral.